GACGAACGCUGGCGGCGUGCUUAACACAUGCAAGUCGAACGGAAAGGCCCUGCUUUUGUGGGGUGCUCGAGCGGCGAACGGGUGAGUAACACGUGAGUAACCUGCCCUUGACUUUGGGAUAACUUCAGGAAACUGGGGCUAAUACCGGAUAGGAGCUCCUGCUGCAUGGUGGGGGUUGGAAAGUUUCGGCGGUUGGGGAUGGACUCGCGGCUUAUCAGCUUGUUGGUGGGGUAGUGGCUUACCAAGGCUUUGACGGGUAGCCGGCCUGAGAGGGUGACCGGCCACAUUGGGACUGAGAUACGGCCCAGACUCCUACGGGAGGCAGCAGUGGGGAAUAUUGCACAAUGGGCGGAAGCCUGAUGCAGCAACGCCGCGUGCGGGAUGACGGCCUUCGGGUUGUAAACCGCUUUCGCCUGUGACGAAGCGUGAGUGACGGUAAUGGGUAAAGAAGCACCGGCUAACUACGUGCCAGCAGCCGCGGUGAUACGUAGGGUGCGAGCGUUGUCCGGAUUUAUUGGGCGUAAAGGGCUCGUAGGUGGUUGAUCGCGUCGGAAGUGUAAUCUUGGGGCUUAACCCUGAGCGUGCUUUCGAUACGGGUUGACUUGAGGAAGGUAGGGGAGAAUGGAAUUCCUGGUGGAGCGGUGGAAUGCGCAGAUAUCAGGAGGAACACCAGUGGCGAAGGCGGCUCUCUGGGCCUUUCCUGACGCUGAGGAGCGAAAGCGUGGGGAGCGAACAGGCUUAGAUACCCUGGUAGUCCACGCUGUAAACGGUGGGUACUAGGUGUGGGGUCCAUUCCACGGGUUCCGUGCCGUAGCUAACGCUUUAAGUACCCCGCCUGGGGAGUACGGCCGCAAGGCUAAAACUCAAAGGAAUUGACGGGGCCCCGCACAAGCGGCGGAGCAUGCGGAUUAAUUCGAUGCAACGCGUAGAACCUUACCUGGGUUUGACAUGGAUCGGGAGUGCUCAGAGAUGGGUGUGCCUCUUUUGGGGUCGGUUCACAGGUGGUGCAUGGCUGUCGUCAGCUCGUGUCGUGAGAUGUUGGGUUAAGUCCCGCAACGAGCGCAACCCUUGUUCACUGUUGCCAGCACGUUAUGGUGGGGACUCAGUGGAGACCGCCGGGGUCAACUCGGAGGAAGGUGGGGAUGACGUCAAGUCAUCAUGCCCCUUAUGUCCAGGGCUUCACGCAUGCUACAAUGGCUGGUACAGAGAGUGGCGAGCCUGUGAGGGUGAGCGAAUCUCGGAAAGCCGGUCUCAGUUCGGAUUGGGGUCUGCAACUCGACCUCAUGAAGUCGGAGUCGCUAGUAAUCGCAGAUCAGCAACGCUGCGGUGAAUACGUUCCCGGGGCUUGUACACACCGCCCGUCAAGUCAUGAAAGUUGGUAACACCCGAAGCCGGUGGCCUAACCGUUGUGGGGGAGCCGUCGAAGGUGGGACUGGUGAUUAGGACUAAGUCGUAACAAGGUAGCCGUACCGGAAGG
RNAcentral lists this ribosomal RNA (1477 nucleotides) under uncultured bacterium. Its description in RNAcentral is "16S ribosomal RNA". It matches the Rfam family "Bacterial small subunit ribosomal RNA". The record is from RNAcentral.